Molecule: ribosomal RNA, 246 nt
Filed under: uncultured bacterium
Lineage: Bacteria
Description: partial small subunit ribosomal RNA
Rfam family: Bacterial small subunit ribosomal RNA
Source: RNAcentral
AGAAUCAACGCUGGCGGCGUGCCUAACACAUGCAAGUCGCACGAGAAAGUGGAGCAAUCCAUGAGUACAGUGGCGCACGGGUGAGUAACACGUGAAUAAUCUACCUCCGAGUGGGGAAUAACUUCGGGAAACCGAGGCUAAUACCGCAUAACACUUACGAGUCAAAGCAGCAAUGCGCUUGGAGAGGAGUUCGCGGCAGAUUAGCUAGUUGGUGGGGUAAUGGCCCACCAAGGCGAUGAUCUGUAU